GACGAACGCUGGCGGCGUGCCUAAUACAUGCAAGUAGAACGCUGAAGGAGGAGCUUGCUUCUCUGGAUGAGUUGCGAACGGGUGAGUAACGCGUAGGUAACCUGCCUGGUAGCGGGGGAUAACUAUUGGAAACGAUAGCUAAUACCGCAUAAGAGUAGAUGUUGCAUGACAUUUACUUAAAAGGUGCAAUUGCAUCACUACCAGAUGGACCUGCGUUGUAUUAGCUAGUUGGUGAGGUAACGGCUCACCAAGGCAACGAUACAUAGCCGACCUGAGAGGGUGAUCGGCCACACUGGGACUGAGACACGGCCCAGACUCCUACGGGAGGCAGCAGUAGGGAAUCUUCGGCAAUGGACGGAAGUCUGACCGAGCAACGCCGAGUGAGUGAAGAAGGUUUUCGGAUCGUAAAGCUCUGUUGUAAGAGAAGAACGAGUGUGAGAGUGGAAAGUUCACACUGUGACGGUAUCUUACCAGAAAGGGACGGCUAACUACGUG
Molecule: ribosomal RNA, 495 nt
Filed under: uncultured bacterium
Lineage: Bacteria
Description: partial 16S ribosomal RNA
Rfam family: Bacterial small subunit ribosomal RNA
Source: RNAcentral